Cydia pomonella (codling moth) is the source of this 1543-nucleotide long non-coding RNA. RefSeq lists it as uncharacterized. The transcript is spliced from 2 exons. The record is from RefSeq and is a predicted model, not a curated record. Lineage: Eukaryota; Metazoa; Arthropoda; Insecta; Lepidoptera; Tortricidae.
CACACUGUGUACGUCACACCGAGGCAGCUCGCCACGUGAGUACCAUGCACUAGAGUGGGACGGCUAUAGGGGCUCCCCUGGCCACGUUCCCCGCCCCGGACCUCACUGGAGCCCUAGCGCCGCGGACGGUGCCCGUGGGCGCCCUGCAGUACCCCGCGCCGAGCAACACUGAACACACUGUGUACGUCACACCGAGGCAGCUCGCCACGUGAGUACCAUGCACUAGAGUGGGACGGCUAUAGGGGCUCCCCUGGCCACGUUCCCCGCCCCGGACCUCACUGGAGCCCUAGCGCCGCGGACGGUGCCCGUGGGCGCCCUGCAGUACCCCGCGCCGAGCAACACUGAACACACUGUGUACGUCACACCGAGGCAGCUCGCCACGUGAGUACCAUGCACUAGAGUGGGACGGCUAUAGGGGCUCCCCUGGCCACGUUCCCCGCCCCGGACCUCACUGGAGCCCUAGCGCCGCGGACGGUGCCCGUGGGCGCCCUGCAGUACCCCGCGCCGAGCAACACUGAACACACUGUGUACGUCACACCGAGGCAGCUCGCCACGUGAGUACCAUGCACUAGAGUGGGACGGCUAUAGGGGCUCCCCUGGCCACGUUCCCCGCCCCGGACCUCACUGGAGCCCUAGCGCCGCGGACGGUGCCCGUGGGCGCCCUGCAGUACCCCGCGCCGAGCAACACUGAACACACUGUGUACGUCACACCGAGGCAGCUCGCCACGUGAGUACCAUGCACUAGAGUGGGACGGCUAUAGGGGCUCCCCUGGCCACGUUCCCCGCCCCGGACCUCACUGGAGCCCUAGCGCCGCGGACGGUGCCCGUGGGCGCCCUGCAGUACCCCGCGCCGAGUAACACUGAACACACUGUGUACGUCACACCGAGGCAGCUCGCCACGUGAGUACCAUGCACUAGAGUGGGACGGCUAUAGGGGCUCCCCUGGCCACGUUCCCCGCCCCGGACCUCACUGGAGCCCUAGCGCCGCGGACGGUGCCCGUGGGCGCCCUGCAGUACCCCGCGCCGAGCAAUACUGAACACACUGUGUACGUCACACCGAGGCAGCUCGCCACGCUGAGAGAGCUGGUGGCUGAACUCAAAUCGGACGACGUGAAACUGGAACUCAAGCCGCUGGACACCACAGUCUGCGCUGCGUAGACUUUCUAAGAGAAUUCAUCUAAGAAAAUUAGUAAAAAGUUAUAAUUUCCAAACGAAUAUUAUUUCUACUCGUGGACUGUAAUGGUUUAAUUCAGGCUUCGUAUACCAAACUGAAAUCUUAUACUUUUUUUCACUAUGGCAUCCCAACUCAACUAAUAUAUUCCUAUCGAAACGCUUUAGUCAACUAUAAUAAAUUUAACCAAUCACGUGCGGGCGCGGCUGACGGAACAAAACGAUAACUCUAAUUAAUUAUUUAUGUUAGGUUGUAUAGUAGGAACAAUUGCUUCUUAUGGCAGAAACGCGCAUGUGACAUCCUUAAUAUAGCAACAUCCAUAGACUACGAAGACCGCUUAGCGUUCCUUGUUAGUCUCCAUUGUCUACGGUG